Molecule: long non-coding RNA, 411 nt
Filed under: Lupinus mutabilis
Lineage: Eukaryota; Viridiplantae; Streptophyta; Magnoliopsida; Fabales; Fabaceae
Description: partial ncRNA
Source: RNAcentral
UUGUCAAUGUGUUAUUAUGCACUUGCCAUCUACGAAAAUCAGCCUGCCUACACUGAUACUCGUGGAAGUCUAAUUUCACGUCAACAGCCUAUGCCAAGUCAGUACUAUGCAUCGUCUCAGUAUUACCGGCCACAACAUCAUCUGAGUGUUCCACAUCAGAAUGUUCCCUAUGAUAGCAAUUUUGGACAGAGCAACAUUCCGGCUUAUUAUCAUCCAGAAUUCCAAGGAAUUUCUACUCGACCAGCAACUUCCCUUCCUCAAGGGAAUCCAUCCUUGGGCCUGGUCCUCAUUCUGCUGCUAACAAGCUCAUCCACAGUUUUACAACAUCACUGGACAAGCCUAUCCUCAUGAUGAUCGUAGUGAAACAAAUUUGGUUAGCUCCUCCUUAUGGUACCCAGAUUUAGGAGCUAU